RNAcentral lists this ribosomal RNA (514 nucleotides) under uncultured bacterium. Its description in RNAcentral is "bacterial SSU rRNA". It matches the Rfam family "Bacterial small subunit ribosomal RNA", at positions 8 to 526 of the family's 1533-position model. The record is from RNAcentral.
AGAGUUUGAUCAUGGCUCAGAUUGAACGCUGGCGGCAUGCCUUACACAUGCAAGUCGAACGGCAGCACGGGAGCAAUCCUGGUGGCGAGUGGCGAACGGGUGAGUAAUACAUCGGAACGUGCCCAGUAGUGGGGGAUAGCCCGGCGAAAGCCGGAUUAAUACCGCAUACGACCUACGGGUGAAAGCGGGGGAUCGCAAGACCUCGCGCUGUCGGAGCGGCCGAUGUCAGAUUAGGUUGUUGGUGGGGUAAAGGCCUACCAAGCCGACGAUCUGUAGCUGGUCUGAGAGGACGACCAGCCACACUGGGACUGAGACACGGCCCAGACUCCUACGGGAGGCAGCAGUGGGGAAUUUUGGGCAAUGGGCGAAAGCCUGACCCAGCAACGCCGCGUGAGGGAUGAAGGCCCUCGGGUCGUAAACUCCUGUCAGGGGGGACGAAACGCCCAGCAAUGGGCAUUGACUGUACCCUCUGAGGAAGCCACGGCUAACUCCGUGCCAGCCGCCGCGGUAAUAC